This 250-nucleotide ribosomal RNA is filed under the name uncultured Chroococcidiopsis sp. Its description in RNAcentral is "partial 16S ribosomal RNA". It matches the Rfam family "Bacterial small subunit ribosomal RNA", at positions 796 to 1044 of the family's 1533-position model. Lineage: Bacteria; Bacillati; Cyanobacteriota; Cyanophyceae; Chroococcidiopsidales; Chroococcidiopsidaceae. The record is from RNAcentral.
CUAGCCGUAAACGAUGGAUACUAGGCGUUGUGAGUAUCGACCCUCACAGUGUCGUAGCUAACGCGUUAAGUAUCCCGCCUGGGGAGUACGCGCGCAAGCGUGAAACUCAAAGGAAUUGACGGGGGCCCGCACAAGCGGUGGAGUAUGUGGUUUAAUUCGAUGCGACGCGAAGAACCUUACCAGGACUUGACAUGUCGCGAAUCUCAGGGAAACUUGAGAGUGCCUUCGGGAGCGCGAACACAGGUGGUGC